UACGAAGGGGGCUAGCGUUGCUCGGAAUUACUGGGCGUAAAGGGCGCGUAGGCGGCACUGUUAGUCAGGCGUGAAAUUCCUGGGCUCAACCUGGGGACUGCGCUUGAUACGGCAGAGCUUGAGGAUGGAAGAGGGUCGCGGAAUUCCCAGUGUAGAGGUGAAAUUCGUAGAUAUCGGAAGGAACAUCAGUGGCGAAAGCGGCUUCCUGGACCAGCACCGACGUUCAGGCACGAAAGCGUGGGGAGCAAACAGG
This 253-nucleotide ribosomal RNA is filed under the name uncultured bacterium. RNAcentral describes it as "partial 16S ribosomal RNA". It matches the Rfam family "Bacterial small subunit ribosomal RNA", at positions 524 to 776 of the family's 1533-position model. The record is from RNAcentral.